CUCGCCGCCGUUUAGGCAUUCGUCUCCCUUGCAGAGAGAGUCUCGUCAGCUGGCCAGCGCCUCGAAUAGAAGUAAUGUCGGUGCGGGUGGCGGCAGCGGGAGUGGGAGUGGGAGUGGGAGUACUCCUGGUCCGCCGGCUAUCAAGUUUACGGAUAGGCAGUACUUGAAUAUAUUGCAGUCUAUGGGGCAGUCCAUACAUAUCUUUGCUGUUGAUGGCCGUCUUAUCUACUG
This 231-nucleotide long non-coding RNA is filed under the name Linum usitatissimum (flax). Its description in RNAcentral is "long non-coding RNA (LUSI_LNC001705)". Lineage: Eukaryota; Viridiplantae; Streptophyta; Magnoliopsida; Malpighiales; Linaceae. The record is from RNAcentral.